Hippocampus comes (tiger tail seahorse) is the source of this 115-nucleotide long non-coding RNA. RefSeq lists it as uncharacterized. Lineage: Eukaryota; Metazoa; Chordata; Actinopteri; Syngnathiformes; Syngnathidae. The transcript is spliced from 3 exons. The record is from RefSeq and is a predicted model, not a curated record.
GCAAUUGUGCCUGGAACCUCCAGCAACUUAAAUCAAGCCUCUUCCCAUUUAACUUUCAAAUUGCUGUUUUCUACAAUGAACCUUAAACUUUUAAUACUCAAGUCAGCAAAAGCAU